Molecule: RNA transcript, 3315 nt
Organism: Epinephelus lanceolatus (giant grouper)
Lineage: Eukaryota; Metazoa; Chordata; Actinopteri; Perciformes; Serranidae
Gene name: peroxisomal N(1)-acetyl-spermine/spermidine oxidase-like
Source: RefSeq, a predicted model, not a curated record
UUUACAGUAAUGGAGACCUCUGUGUUCCAACGAGCAUGGAAGUGAGGCAUACAUGUUUCAUCAGAUAUGUCUGAAAGCAUGUCUGUGCAGCACCUGGUUCACCUGAGCUGACCUGAACAGACAAGCUUUGGGCAUGCAGCUGCACAGCUCCGCCUCCUGCACCGGGGCUUCAUAGAGCUGUCAACCCCAAAUUAACAACACGCACAACGGGAGGCGGAAUUCACAGUAGGCCUACGUAUACGGAAGCAGACAACGGGAUUCAUAUCUAAAUAUGUAGGCUACGGUUGUGAUUUUGUGUCCGGUGCAAAGCGAAUAUGGCUACAAGCGCAGACCCAGAGAUAGUUAUUAUAGGAUGCGGGAUAGCAGGUAUAGCGGCGGCACAGCGGCUCGUUAACGCUGGGUUUCAUCAUGUGAGGAUACUUGAAGCGACUGCAAGGAGCGGAGGAAGAAUAAAAACCGAAAGAUUGGGUAACAACAUUACAGAAAUAGGUGCAAGUUAUAUCCACGGUCCAUCUGAGGAGAACCCGGUGUUUUGUCUGGCACGUGACUAUGGCCUCCUGGAUCCAGAGGCCCUCACCCAAGAGAAUCAGGCCAUGGACCUCGAUGAACGCCUUCCCUGGGUUCCCAACUGGUUCAGCAGUUCAGGUCAGAAGCUCAGUGCUGAAGACAUGAAACCUGCUCUGGAGAUGUUUGAUGAGCUAUUGGAGGAUACUUUCCAGUUUCGAAAUCAAGGAGAAAAGCCCUGGGCCAGCGUAGGACAUUUUGUUCGAUCAGAGGCACAACAGCGAGCAGCAGAGAGGUGGGCCAAUAAGGAUGAAAGCACCAGGAAGCUGCUACUGUGUGCCAUCAGUGCCAUGUUGAAGGAGGAGUGCUGUGCCAGUGCAGCUCCCACCAUGGACGAGAUAGACCUGGCAGGAUAUAACAUCUACAAAGCUCUAACUGGACUCGACUGCACAUUCCCAGAUGGCUACGAAGGCCUAAUCCAGAACUUGAUGUCGGAGCUCCCCAGUGGUUUAGUGACCUACAAUCGGCCUGUUCACUGUGUCCACUGGGAUAACACAGAGAGCGGAGACAGCACUGUUACGGCUGAGUGUAAUGAUGGGGAGAGGAUCGCUGCUGAUCAUGUUAUUGUCACAGUGCCUCUAGGAUACCUUAAGAAGCACCAUUCAACCCUGUUCUCUCCUCCUCUACCUGCACACAAGCUGAACUCCAUCCAGAGACUGGGAUUUGGAACAUGCAACAAAAUAUUUGUAGAGUUUGAAUCUCGGUGGUGGGAUGCUGACUGUGAGAUAAUCUUCCUGGUGUGGGAAGAUGAGGAGGACAUUUUGGACCAGGUGUCCAACAAUUCCUGGAUAAGGAAGUUGUCAGCGUUCACUGUGAUCAAACGUGCUGAAAGCCACGUUCUCUGCGGCUGGAUCGCUGGGCACGAGUCGAAGUAUAUGGAGACACUUUCUGAGCAGGAGGUCAGACUUUCAGUCGCGGAGCUCAUCCGUACAUUCACAGGAAAUCCUACCAUCACCCCAACGAGAAUCCUCCGCUCCCAGUGGUUUCAUGACCCCUGGACAUGCGGAUCGUACAUUUACCCAGCAGUAGGCUGUGUAGUGCAGGACCUGGAGAACAUGAUGGAGCCCCUGCCUAUGAAGGGAUCACAGUCACAGCCCCUGCAGGUGUUAUUCGCUGGAGAGGCUACUCAUCCAUACUACUAUUCCACUGUCCAUGGAGCUCUUCUCACUGGGUGGAGAGAGGCUGACAGACUCAUCUCUCACUACUCCAUCAGUCCAGAUUAAAAAAUUUAAAAGAGGAACACAUAAAAACUGUUUUUUAAUCCCCAAAACAUAAUGCAGUAAUACUGAAAAAAAGACCUCCAAAGAUUUCGCACAUCUGUUUCCAGGUUUUGGGGAGUACGACUGCAUACUGUAUGUGACCAGAGUGAAUCUGAGAUUAGACAACAUCAGAAAAUGACAAAAGCUGCAGACGAUGUUACGCAAGCAAGUGUUGAAGGCAAAGUGCCCUCCACCCUGUUCACCUCCAGUCAUUAUAUCCAGAGUCCAGGACAAGCUCAAGCAAAGGCUCAUUCCUCUACUCAUCCAGAUCAUCAACACUUCUCCAUCUUCCUGACAUCUCAUCUUCACCACCUUUACCACCACCACCACCGUCUAGACCUCUUGGGAUUUGGUUGGGAUGAUGUUGGACGAAACAUAGCAGUACCACUGGAGAUCAUGAAGGCAGUGUAAUGUAAUUCAAGCAAGAAACCGUGGGUACUGGAUUUCCUGACUAACAGGACGCAGACUGUUAGGAUCCACUGCAGCACGUCCUCACCCACCACCCUCAACACUGGUUCCCCCCAGGGCUGUGUAUUGAGCCCCCUGCUGUACACGCUGCUGACAUACCACUGCUCGGCAGGGUACCCGAGCUGUCAUAUUGUCAAGUUCGCAGAUGACACCGCGGUUGUGGGACUAAUAUCCCAUAAUGAUGAGACAGAGUACAGGCAGGAGGUGCAGCAACUGGAGGUCUGGUGCAGAGCAAACCUCGCAUAAAUGUGGCGAAGACCAAAGAGCUGAUUAUCGACUUCAGGAGGAGCAGCCACCCCCCUACUCCGCCCUCCAUAUUGCAGGUGAAGCUGUACAGGUGGUCCCCAGCUUCAAGUAUCUGGGACUACACAUUACAGACAACUUCACCUGGUCUGCCAACACCUGUCUGCCUGUGUGGUCAAGAAGGCCCACCAAUGCCUUUACUUUCUAAGGAAAUGAAAGCAUGCUGGCCUUGGGUCCCCCGCCCUUGUUGCCUUCUACAGAUGUGCAGUGGAGAGUGUCCUGACCCAGGCCGUUACUGUAUGGUAUGGCAACUGCACUGCAGCAAACAAGAAAGCUCUGCAGCGGGUGGUGAAAUCCACUGAGAGGAUCACCGGCUGCAAAUUUGCACCCAUCAGAGACAUUUAUGUCAGCCGCUGCAGGAGCAGGGCCUCUAACAUCAACGAGGACCCAACACACUCUGAACAUGACUUGUUCACCCCACUGCCCUCAGACAGAAGACUGAGCAGUAUUAAAGCAAGGACCUCAUGCCUCAGAUCCAGUUUUUUUCCUGAGACAGUCAGACUUCUGAAUAAUACAUAGCCCACAAGCUGAGCUGACUAUACUGCAUAAAUUGACUGUGACUUCCUUAUUUAUCGUUUAACUAUGUGUUUUUAACUUACGUAUUUAACUUAACUUUGCCCCUCUUUUUAUUUAUUGUGCUCUCACUGGGCCUUGAGCACCUAAUUUCGUUCUCUCAUGUACCCCAUGCAGGAAUGAAAAUAAAUGAACCUUGAACCUUGAA